GCCCGUGUUAUGAAACAUGAAGCCACAGUCCACAGCCAGCACCCGAGACCUCUCCAUGAGCCUGCUGGGAGCGCUGCUGCUUCCUGCCCUGCUGUGGGGACAGGACGGGAAACCGAGGCCUUGGGCCGCAACACCGGCAUACCAGCGUGAUAAGUAAGCCUUUGCCAUUCAUGCCUCGGUGCAGGAUGUAGUUCGAGUGGGAACCCCACAUGGAGGUGGUCCUCAGUAGACUGGGCAGACAUGCAGGAAUGGUCUCAGGCUGCUGCUUCUCUGCCCCACCUGAGGACUCCCGUGUCACACGGCAACAUUGCCUCGGUGACGUCACGGACUGCAGUCCUGUGCAUGCUGGCUUCCAUCUGUACAAACUCAGGCAGACGCUCCUGAAGACACAGGCUCCACUUCGGUUCCCCCUUCCUGUCUCCUGGUCUCCCUGAAAACUCAAGCUGCUGCAGAUUAGCAGCCCCUUCCGCAUCCACCCAGAAACAGACCCUGAAAUCUGGUGCCUGGCGGGGGGCCAUGUGGAGACAGCCUUGGGUGGCCACCAGCCGCCAGGAACUGGUAAAAGCUGGGACCAACCCUGUCCGAUAGCCUCCAAGGAUCUGGUGUGCCGCCAUCAUGACCUCGGGCUUUUGUCCUCAGCUCUCUCUGAGGAUGGACCGCCCUUGGCGGGGGUGGGGGGGCUGCCUGGCAUGCAGUGCUUCCCUACCGCAGUGCUGCCUGGCAGAUGACCCAGAGGUUCCAGCCCCCGGGUGUCUGGCCAGCACCCACUCCUAUGCCUGCCGGGGCACCCUGCUCAGUGCCCUCUGGGAGCCUGGCCUCAUUCUGCGGCCUGCCUCCCAGAAGGCAUUUCCCCUCCCACCGGAGACGGACAAGGCACUCAGGUAUGAACUCCCAUUUCCUUCUCUCUACCUCAGGCCUGCUCCCUGCACCUAAGACUGGUUCUCAGCUUGCCGAAUAAACCUCCCUCUUCCUGCUGCAGCACCCCGCCCCCCCCAGCACUUGAAUUCAGAGCUCUAGAGGGUGCCUUCACUUCCAGAGCCUCCUCUGUGCUGGCCUCCGCCCCAGAGUCCCUUGAAUCUACCUCGAGUUGCUGAUGGGCACCUGGCUGCUUGUCUCUCAGGUGUGAACUAUCCUGUCAGCUUCCUGCUCCUUGCGCACUGUCUCCUCGGAGUGUCUGUAGCUCACCACUGCCCCUGUGUCUCUUCUCACCACUGCCCCUGUGUCUCUUCUCACCACUGCCCCUGUGUCUCUUCUGAAGAUACUUUUGGGUGUCUGUUGCUCUUCCAAAGCAAUGUGAGCUUGGUUAGGGAAGUUCCAAUCGUAACCCGUAUCUUUCCUGGAAAAUCAACUCCGCCCCGACCCCCUCUCCCCGCUGGCAUGGGACUCUCAGGGUUCAGCUGACGCAGAAGGUAUGCAGAAAGGAUCGGUCGGACAGGUGGGGGUAGGGACAGGUGAGUGGAUAGAGGAUGGAUUGACGUAUGGAAGGGUAGAUGAGUUGGUGACUGGGUAAAGGGGCAGAUAAAUGGAUGGACAA
This is a long non-coding RNA of Mesocricetus auratus (golden hamster), 1534 nucleotides long. RefSeq lists it as uncharacterized. The record is from RefSeq and is a predicted model, not a curated record. The transcript is spliced from 3 exons. Lineage: Eukaryota; Metazoa; Chordata; Mammalia; Rodentia; Cricetidae.